CGCGUAGGUGGUUCGAUGAGUCGGAGGUGAAAUCCCUCGGCUCAACCGAGGACCCGCGUCCGAUACUGUCGAACUUGAGUGCAGGAGAGGAGAGCGGAAUUCCCAGUGUAGCGGUGAAAUGCGUAGAUAUUGGGAGGAACACCGGUGGCGAAGGCGGCUCUCUGGACUGUUACUGACACUGAGGCGCGAAAGCUAGGGGAGCAAACGGGAUUAGAUACCCCGGGUAGUCCUAGCCGUAAACGAUGGGCACUAGGUGUGGGAGGUAUCGACCCCCUCCGUGCCGCAGCUAACGCAUUAAGUGCCCCGCCUGGGGAGUACGGCCGCAAGGUUGAA
RNAcentral lists this ribosomal RNA (333 nucleotides) under uncultured bacterium. RNAcentral describes it as "bacterial SSU rRNA". It matches the Rfam family "Bacterial small subunit ribosomal RNA", at positions 568 to 898 of the family's 1533-position model. The record is from RNAcentral.